This is a non-coding RNA of Biomphalaria glabrata, 60 nucleotides long. The record is from Rfam. Lineage: Eukaryota; Metazoa; Mollusca; Gastropoda; Planorbidae.
AUGGCUGAGCGUUAAAGCGCUUGGCUUCCGAACCGGGGGGUCCCGGGUUCGAAUCCUGGU